UUCCAGACUCCUACGGGAGGCAGCAGUGGGGAAUAUUGCACAAUGGGGGAAACCCUGAUGCAGCGACGCCGCGUGAGUGAAGAAGUCUUUCGGUAUGUAAAGCUCUAUCAGCAGGAAAGAAAAUGACGGUACCUGACUAAGAAGCCCCGGCUAACUACGUGCCAGCAGCCGCGGUAAUACGUAGGGGGCAAGCGUUGUCCGGAAUUACUGGGUGUAAAGGGAGCGUAGACGGUGAAGCAAGUCUGAAGUGAAAGGCGGGGGCUCAACCCCCGGACUGCUUUGGAAACUGUUUGACUGGAGUGCAGGAGAGGUAAGUGGAAUUCCUAGUGUAGCGGUGAAAUGCGUAGAUAUUAGGAGGAACACCAGUGGCGAAGGCGGCUUACUGGACUGUAACUGACGUUGAGGCUCGAAAGCGUGGGGAGCAAACAGGAUUAGAUACCCGGGUA
This 446-nucleotide ribosomal RNA is filed under the name uncultured bacterium. RNAcentral describes it as "partial 16S ribosomal RNA". It matches the Rfam family "Bacterial small subunit ribosomal RNA", at positions 329 to 792 of the family's 1533-position model. The record is from RNAcentral.